Molecule: long non-coding RNA, 457 nt
Filed under: Panax ginseng (ginseng)
Lineage: Eukaryota; Viridiplantae; Streptophyta; Magnoliopsida; Apiales; Araliaceae
Description: long non-coding RNA (PGIN_LNC008497)
Source: RNAcentral
AAAGGAAUAUGAAGAUUAUGUGAUGGUUUAUAUUGUUUAUUAUAUAAACAAAUAAAAGAAACUAAUGUGAUCCUAAUUAUAUAUUAGGAAUGAAGAAUUUAAUAACUUAAGGGUUAUUAGAUGAGAAAAUUAUGGUAUUUAGAAUAUAUACCAAUUAUGAGAGAUUUAUUUUAUACAUCUCAGUUAAUUAAUUUUAUAAUCUAAUUUUAGCAAGUCUAAUUGGGUUAAGGAAAUAAAUGUGCAUGAGUAAGGAUUUAAGUUAUAAUUGAGGAAAAUGAAAACCCUAAUUAAAUGAUUUGGGUUGGAUAAGAAUUAAUAGUAUUGGACUAUGUUAAUUUACAUGGCCCAAAGAAUUAAAUUUUUAAGUCAAAUAUAUUAUUUAUUGAUUGCCCAAAAGAUGGAAAUGAUGGCCCAAAUUUAAGCCCAAAUAAGGAGGGACAUAUUGGACAUUUGGUAU